This 506-nucleotide ribosomal RNA is filed under the name uncultured bacterium. RNAcentral describes it as "partial 16S ribosomal RNA". It matches the Rfam family "Bacterial small subunit ribosomal RNA", at positions 30 to 523 of the family's 1533-position model. The record is from RNAcentral.
AUUGAACGCUGGCGGCAGGCCUAACACAUGCAAGUCGAACGGCAGCACAGAAGAGCUUGCUCUUUGGGUGGCGAGUGGCGGACGGGUGAGUAAUGUCUGGGAAACUGCCCGAUGGAGAGGGAUAACUACUGGAAACGGUAGCUAAUACCGCAUAACGUCGCAAGACCAAAGUGGGGGACCGUCGGGCCUCACACCAUAGGAUGUGCCCAGAUGGGAUUAGCUAGUAGGUGGGGUAAUGGCUCACCUAGGCGACGAUCCCUAGCUGGUCUGAGAGGAUGACCAGCCACACUGGAACUGAGACACGGUCCAGACUCCUACGGGAGGCAGCAGUGGGGAAUAUUGCACAAUGGGCGCAAGCCUGAUGCAGCCAUGCCGCGUGUAUGAAGAAGGCCUUCGGGUUGUAAAGUACUUUCAGCGGGGAGGAAGGCGGUGAGGUUAAUAACCUUGCCGAUUGACGUUACCCGCAGAAGAAGCACCGGCUAACUCCGUGCCAGCAGCCGCAGUAA